UACGUAGGGUGCAAGCGUUAAUCGGAUUUACUGGGCGUAAAGCGUGCGCAGGCGGUCUGCUAAGUCAGGUGUGAAAUCCCCGGGCUUAACCUGGGAACUGCGCUUGUUACUGGCAGGCUGGAGUGUGGCAGAGGGGGGUGGAAUUCCACGUGUAGCAGUGAAAUGCGUAGAUAUCUGGAGGAAUACCGGUGGCGAAGGCGGCACCCUGGACCGGCAUUGACGCUGAGGAGCGAAAGCCAGGGGAGCAAACGGG
Molecule: ribosomal RNA, 253 nt
Filed under: uncultured bacterium
Lineage: Bacteria
Description: partial 16S ribosomal RNA
Rfam family: Bacterial small subunit ribosomal RNA
Source: RNAcentral